GAGCCCUCCCUGCCCGCCUCAGAAGUUGCCGAUGAACCGCCCACCCUCACGAAGGAAGAACCAGUUCCAGUAGAGACACAGAUUGCUGAGGAGGAGGAAGACUCUGGUGCUCCACCCCUGAAACGCUUCUGUGUGGACCAACCUGCAGUGCCGCAGACAGCGUCGGAAAGCUAGCACCACCUUGGCGCCCUCUGCCUCCUGGCCCCUUGCCUCUAUUUAUUGCAUUCUGGUUCUGGCUGUGCUGUGUUGCUGGGUAAGGGCAAGCACUGGGGUCCAGAGCCUGCACACAGGAGCCCUCUGGGCUGGAAGGCUGACAUAGGACCUGGGGUCAUAGCAUCAUCUUCCCAUCCCUGGCACCUGUGUCUGCUUGAUCCUGAGAAGAGGAGCACUCAUGUCCCUUCUGCACCCCAAGUGGGCUGGAGCAUCCAGCACUCCAAGGUGGUUCUGUCACCUCCAGGUAGCAGUCUCUGCUCCAGAACCUCUGGCGUGGGCUGCUGGUGCUUCUUCAAGAGGAAAGAGAUGUGGAAGGCGCCCUCGAGAGAAGAGAGUGCCUGAGGCUUACUUGAACUUGAAUGGAGACUGUAGAGUCGUGGACUUUCCCCUCGGGCUAGGGGCCCUGUAGGCUGCUGUUGGAGGAGGCCUGCCUGCAUGGACGCUGGAGGGAACGAGAAGGCUUUUCUCCACCCGAGGGCAGAAAAGUCCGUAUAGAUUUCUUACUGUCAGGGUGCUUCUGCCCAUUCCUGAGGUUAUUCUGCCUCUCAUGGGCUCUCUGGCUGCUGACAGUCCUUUGUCCCCCACCGUAACCAUCGCCUUCCUCCAGCAAACACACGCACACACAGCUUCCCCCGUUUCCACUGGACAUUUCAUUCCAGCACCUCCUGCCUCCCGCCACCGUCCCCAGCACUCCUGCUACAAACUCCGCCCCAGCAAGAAUUUGAGGUUCUGACAACGGUACCCAUCCCCACAGUAGUCCUUCAGCUCAGACUUUCUAGAAAGCUCCCUUUUCUUUGAAAUCUGCAUGUUUAAUUGAAGCCUGUGAUUUUAUUUUUUGUUUCAAAAAAGUUUAAGAAAAUGGAAAUGGGCAACAGUGAGUGAAGACAUAUUUUAGCACUGAAUAGAAUAUUUUUAAAAUUAAACUAUUUGAAAUAU
This 1149-nucleotide long non-coding RNA is filed under the name Sus scrofa (pig). RNAcentral describes it as "lncRNA (ENSSSCG00060000795.1)". Lineage: Eukaryota; Metazoa; Chordata; Mammalia; Artiodactyla; Suidae. The record is from RNAcentral.